Long non-coding RNA from Dermochelys coriacea (leatherback sea turtle), 802 nucleotides. RefSeq lists it as uncharacterized. Lineage: Eukaryota; Metazoa; Chordata; Testudines; Dermochelyidae. The record is from RefSeq and is a predicted model, not a curated record. The transcript is spliced from 3 exons.
GCUGAGCCUGAACAAGAAAUCCUGGGACAGGAAGGUGGAGGAGCUGGAAAGGAAACCCUGGAAGUUGAGAAGAUGAAGGAAAGCUCUUAGGGGCAAAGAGACUCCUGGGCACUGACAGUCAAAAGGCGAAGGUUUAUGGGUGGACUUGGGACUGGAGUACCUGGAAAAGGGGUGUAGAACCAGAGGGCUGAGUUGCAAGAAGAGGUGACCCACCCCUGGACAAGAGCAACUGGGCUAUGCCAUAUCUAGCCCCCAGAGACGGAGCUCCUCAGGGCAUACCCUGCCUUCUUUCCUGUUUGCAAAAAUCUAGCGCACUAUGAACGCUGCUGGGAAUAAAUAACCUGAUGUCCUGAUUUACCAUCUCAUUGCAGAAUAAUACGCAUUGAAAGGUUUAGCUGCAGUUCAAUGUAGUUUGCCUUCCCUCCUUGGUGCUCUCUCAUUUAAAACCUAACAAGGUUGUGCUUAGUCCUGUCCAGAUUCUCCCCUGCUUCAAUUUUAACCACUUUAUUACUUAAUCAAGCACCGUACCACUUCAUUCCUAGUCUGUUACACUUAUUGAAUUUAAAAAAUGCAAUCCUAUGCCAAAUGCACAAAUAUAUUCCCAGGCUUAUUGCCACAAAUGGUCUUUCUUUGCAUUAUUCUAAAGAGAAAAUCUGCCAUUACUAAGAUAUUUGGCUACUUUGUAGCCAUUUUUAUUGGCUCUGUUAUUUCACAGUCCAGUUACUCUUUGCCUAGCUGUCCGAUAACAUAUUCCUGUAAAUAGCUCUUGCAUUUGUAUGCAACCAUUAUCAUAACCUUCUCU